UGGAUCUGGCUCAGUAUAACCUGCUUGUUUUGCUUCAGACACUAUGUCACUAAACGAUUUACUACCUGUAAAGUUGUUGAAGAUGUAACUCAACGUCCCACUGAAGAUGCCUUCAAUACGCAAUAUUUUGUCUCCGGUUUCAAGCAAAACACGUAGGGUGCUAAUAAUUGGAAGACCGGCACCAACAGUAGCUUCAUAAAAGUAAUGAGUAUAGGACUGUCGUUGAAGAGCUCUCAAUUUCAAAUACUGAUCGAGUGGUCCAGAGUUAGCCCUUUUAUUUGGAGUAAUGACAUGAAUUCCUCUUCGAAGCCAGUUGUAGUAGUAGCUAGCAAUAUCAGGAUUGGCCGUGCAAUCCACCAAAACAGUAUUGGGAAUAAAAUGAUUUUGAUGCACAUGCUGCACAAACCUUUCCAUAUCUGCCACUUCACCUCUCUCACUUUGAAGUUCUCUCCAAUUAGAUAAGUCAAGUCCCUCAUCGCACAAAAGCAUGCUUCUGGAGCUAAUAAUUCCCAUGACACGCAAGUCAAUGUUAAAAUCUUCUUUGAGAACUGAUGCCUGAUCCUUUAGCUGCUCAAGUAAUGUGGCACCAAUAAGUCCAGGUCCAAUGAUUCCCAUUGCUAUUGUUGUUCUUGACAGAUAAAAUCUUGAGUGCACGGCUCUCAGGGCUUUUAUACAAUCUUCUCGCCUAACAACUACAGUAAUGUUGUAUUCAGUGCAGCCUUGGGCAAUAGCACGGAUAUUUAUGUUAGCCUUUGCCAGUGCAUUGAAAAGGGUGGCACUAACUCCAGGAGUGCUAGCCAUUCUCUGUCCAACCGCUGCCAAAAUGCUACAGUUUGGAAUAACUGCGACCUGAGAAAGGCGCCCGGCCUCUAAGGCUUGACGGAAUCUAGAUUUCAAUGCCUCAGCAACAGCUUUUACUUCCUUCUCA
RNAcentral lists this unclassified non-coding RNA (928 nucleotides) under Hevea brasiliensis (rubber tree). The record is from RNAcentral. Lineage: Eukaryota; Viridiplantae; Streptophyta; Magnoliopsida; Malpighiales; Euphorbiaceae.